GAUGAACGCUGGCGGCGUGCCUAAUACAUGCAAGUCGAGCGAACAGACGAGGAGCUUGCUCCUCUGACGUUAGCGGCGGACGGGUGAGUAACACGUGUAUAACCUACCUAUAAGACUGGGAUAACUUCGGGAAACCGGAGCUAAUACCGGAUAAUAUAUUGAACCGCAUGGUUCAAUAGUGAAAGACGGUUUUGCUGUCACUUAUAGAUGGAUCCGCGCCGCAUUAGCUAGUUGGUAAGGUAACGGCUUACCAAGGCAACGAUGCGUAGCCGACCUGAGAGGGUGAUAGGCCACACGGGAACUGAGACACGGACCAGACUCCUACGGGAGGCAGCAGUAGGGAAUCUGCCGCAAUGGGCGAAAGCUUGACGGAGCAACGCCGCGUGAGUGAUGAAGGUCUUCGGAUCGUAAAACUCUGUUAUUAGGGAAGAACAAAUGUGUAAGUAACUAUGCACGUCUUGACGGUACCUAAUCAGAAAGCCACGGCUAACUACGUG
Molecule: ribosomal RNA, 497 nt
Filed under: uncultured bacterium
Lineage: Bacteria
Description: partial 16S ribosomal RNA
Rfam family: Bacterial small subunit ribosomal RNA
Source: RNAcentral